AGUCGAGGGGUAACAGAAAAGCUUGCUUUUGCUGACGACCGGCGCACGGGUGCGUAACGCGUAUGCAACCUACCUCAUACUGGAGGAUAGCCCCUGAAAACGGGGAUUAAUACUCCAUAGUAUCACAAUUUCGCAUGUUAUUGUGAUUAAAGUUUUUCGGUAUGAGAUGGGCAUGCGUCCCAUUAGCUUGUUGGUGAGGUAACGGCUCACCAAGGCAACGAUGGGUAGGGGGCCUGAGAGGGUGGUCCCCCACACUGGUACUGAGACACGGACCAGACUCCUACGGGAGGCAGCAGUGAGGAAUAUUGGUCAAUGGAGGAAACUCUGAACCAGCCAUGCCGCGUGAAGGAUGACGGCCCUAUGGGUUGUAAACUUCUUUUAUAGAGGAAGAAACUUGUCUACGUGUAGACAACUGACGGUACUCUACGAAUAAGGAUCGGCUAACUCCGUGCCAGCAGCCGCGGUAAUACGGAGGAUCCAAGCGUUAUCCGGAUUCAUUGGGUUUAAAGGGUCCGUAGGCGGAUUUUUAAGUCAGUGGUGAAAGCCGACAGCUCAACUGUCGAACUGCCAUUGAUACUGGAAAUCUUGAGUACAAAUGAAGUAGGCGGAAUGAGUCAUGUAGCGGUGAAAUGCAUAGAUAUGACUCAGAACACCGAUUGCGAAGGCAGCUUACUAACAUGUAACUGACGCUGAGGGACGAAAGCGUGGGGAGCGAACAGGAUUAGAUACCCUGGUAGUCCACGCCGUAAACGAUCAUCACUCGCUGUUGGCGAUAUACUGUCAGCG
This 786-nucleotide ribosomal RNA is filed under the name uncultured marine bacterium. RNAcentral's name for it is "bacterial SSU rRNA". It matches the Rfam family "Bacterial small subunit ribosomal RNA", at positions 60 to 845 of the family's 1533-position model. The record is from RNAcentral.